UGGGGAAUAUUGGACAAUGGGCGCAAGCCUGAUCCAGCAAUGCCGCGUGAGUGAUGAAGGCCUUAGGGUUGUAAAGCUCUUUUACCCGGGAAGAUAAUGACUGUACCGGGAGAAUAAGCCCCGGCUAACUCCGUGCCAGCAGCCGCGGUAAUACGGAGGGGGCUAGCGUUGUUCGGAAUUACUGGGCGUAAAGCGCACGUAGGCGGCUUGGUAAGUUAGAGGUGAAAGCCUGGAGCUCAACUCCAGAAUUGCCUUUAAGACUGCCGAGCUAGCAGGUGAGAGAGGUGAGUGGAAUUCCGAGUGUAGAGGUGAAAUUCGUAGAUAUUCGGAAGAACACCAGUGGCGAAGGCGGCUCACUGGCUCAUACUGGACGCUGAGGUGCGAAAGCGUGGGGAGCAAACA
RNAcentral lists this ribosomal RNA (402 nucleotides) under uncultured Sphingomonas sp. Its description in RNAcentral is "bacterial SSU rRNA". It matches the Rfam family "Bacterial small subunit ribosomal RNA", at positions 355 to 774 of the family's 1533-position model. The record is from RNAcentral. Lineage: Bacteria; Pseudomonadati; Pseudomonadota; Alphaproteobacteria; Sphingomonadales; Sphingomonadaceae.